This 301-nucleotide ribosomal RNA is filed under the name uncultured bacterium. Its description in RNAcentral is "partial 16S ribosomal RNA". It matches the Rfam family "Bacterial small subunit ribosomal RNA", at positions 509 to 807 of the family's 1533-position model. The record is from RNAcentral.
CAGUCGCCGCGGUAAUACGAAGGGGGCAAGCGUUGUUCGGAAUUAUUGGGCGUAAAGGGUGCGUAGGCGGUUUGGCAAGUUUGGUGUGAAAUCUUCGGGCUCAACUCGAAGUCUGCAUCGAAAACUGCCGGGCUUGAGUAUGGGAGAGGUGAGUGGAAUUUCCGGUGUAGCGGUGAAAUGCGUAGAUAUCGGAAGGAACACCUGUGGCGAAAGCGGCUCACUGGACCAUAACUGACGCUGAUGCACGAAAGCUAGGGGAGCAAACAGGAUUAGAUACCCCAGUAGUCCCUGUCUCUUAUAC